RNAcentral lists this ribosomal RNA (701 nucleotides) under uncultured Desulfobulbaceae bacterium. Its description in RNAcentral is "bacterial SSU rRNA". It matches the Rfam family "Bacterial small subunit ribosomal RNA", at positions 8 to 685 of the family's 1533-position model. The record is from RNAcentral. Lineage: Bacteria; Pseudomonadati; Thermodesulfobacteriota; Desulfobulbia; Desulfobulbales; Desulfobulbaceae.
AGAGUUUGAUCCUGGCUCAGAACGAACGCUGGCGGCGUGCUUAACACAUGCAAGUCGAACGCGAAAGGGACUUCGGUCCCGAGUAGAGUGGCGCACGGGUGAGUAACGCGUAAGUAAUCUACCCCUGUAUCUGGAAUAACCCACCGAAAGGUGAGCUAAUACUGGAUACGUUUAUCUUGAUGCGAAUGAUGAUAAAGAAAGGUGGCCUCUUCAUGAAAGCUACCGUACAGGGACGAGCUUGCGUACCAUUAGCUGGUUGGUAGGGUAAUGGCCUACCAAGGCGACGAUGGUUAGCGGGUCUGAGAGGAUGAUCCGCCACACUGGAACUGAAACACGGACCAGACUCCUACGGGAGGCAGCAGUGAGGAAUAUUGCGCAAUGGGGGCAACCCUGACGCAGCGACGCCGCGUGGACGAUGAAGGCCCUUGGGUCGUAAAAUCCUGUCAGAUGGAAAGAAAUGUACAGGUGUUAAUAUCGCCUGUAUUUGACGGUACCAUCAAAGGAAGCACCGGCUAACUCCGUGCCAGCAGCCGCGGUAAUACGGAGGGUGCGAGCGUUGUUCGGAAUUACUGGGCGUANAGCGCGCGUAGGCGGUUUGCUAAGUCAGAUGUGAAAGCCCUCGGCUUAACCGGGGACGUGCAUUUGAAACUGGCAGACUUGAGUACUGGAGGGGGUGGUGGAAUUUCCGGUGUAGAGGUGAA